GCGCGGACUCGCAUGCUGAGAUAUUUUAGAGACAAUCAAAAAGCAUUGGAGGUCUGAAGCGGACUCUGCUGCAAUUCUCAUUGCUAUGCGCUCUUAUACAACUUCCCGAAAAAAAAAAGACGAUAGAGUUCCAAGGAACAACAGACAACUGGGAAUGCGCUGCCACUGGUUCACUCUGUGUGCACUGGCGCUAUUGAUAGGCCUUGCUGGAUUUGCCCGCUCUGACGUGUCGUUUCCUGUGGUGGUUUUCUCGGCACUACUCUCUACGACAGCUCCGAUCUUCGGAAAGCCACCUGAAAGAUGUAAGAGGCCAAAAGAGAAAUGUAUAGCCAAGAGCCAGUGCUGCGUACCAUUUAUGUGCAUUCAGAGCAAGUGUAGACGUACAUGGCGACGGUAGGAGACGGCAUUAGCCAUAUCAAACCAGCACCGUGCAAUAACUUAUAUAACAUGGCAAUGCGCUGGAGUUUCGAAUGUCUCAAGAUUACGUCAAAAUAAAUGAAGAAUUGUCUGCCCGAUGAACACAGAAAGCCCGCAAUUAUUCAAAUGCAAUAAAAUGUGCUACGAGUUACAA
Molecule: long non-coding RNA, 571 nt
Organism: Dermacentor albipictus
Lineage: Eukaryota; Metazoa; Arthropoda; Arachnida; Ixodida; Ixodidae
Source: RefSeq, a predicted model, not a curated record